Molecule: long non-coding RNA, 4360 nt
Organism: Haemorhous mexicanus (house finch)
Lineage: Eukaryota; Metazoa; Chordata; Aves; Passeriformes; Fringillidae
Exons: 8
Source: RefSeq, a predicted model, not a curated record
AACUAAUCCUGUCACUGUAAAAUCCUACAGUCAUUCUCCAACAUAAAGGGAAAACGGACUCACUAGGAGGACCUAGACUCUUUCAGCUUGAACUGUUAACCAAUGGUGGAAAUGCAAGAAUGCUGAAGUUGUGCCUUCAGAGCCAAUAGAGUGGAUUUGUGUGUCCCACAUGACUGUGUUUCCCCUGUCUUUCACAUGGGCAGUAUUUAGUUCAAUUCAGAACUGCAGAUAGUAUAGCGUGCAGAGCAGCAAUGGGAUGUCUGAGCACAAGUAGCUGACUUCCAGGCGACUUCAGGAAGCUCAUUUGUACAUUUCUCCUGAAUUAUCUGGGAUUCUGCACCCUUGACAUUCUCCAACCCUCCUUGUCGCUGCAGGAGGAGACAGCGACCUGCACAGCACAACAAAACUACAAAUCACCAGAGAGCUACAGACCAGCAAUGAGGAGAGCUGAGGGCAAUUUGACCAACAUCGUCUGUGUCGGUUCCCCAGAAGUCGAUGAAACAUGUAAUCGGGUCUCCAAGACCACAAGACUCAGAAGAUCACUGUGGAAGAAAGACGCUGAGCCAACCCAUUCUUUUGAUAUGACACAAAGUACAGCCCAGUUUGGUAUUCCUUCCACCCUGAAGGAGCUUCAGAUCAGAAGAACAGAAGAUUAGACUUCUACCGACUCUGAGAGACAGGGAGUGGAGCCAGCAGCAAUAUUUAGCAGAGUGACUGAUUUCUGGCACCAUCUAGCUUCUCUGCAACAGGAAUCUGGCAGCCUGAUGAGCAUCCAGGUAUCAGCUGGUGUAAACCCAGAUGCCACUGACGUCAAUGGAGCUGCGUCAGUUUACUCUAGCUGAGAAUCUGAUCCCAAGUGUGCCUCUGCCAUUUUUAGACGCUGCCACUGGAAUUCAUUUUUGCAAGACAAUUUAAAAAAACACAUCCACACAUUGCAUUUCUUCCUGUCCCCAAGUGUUUAACUGGAAGUCUGUUGAUAGACUGUGGGAGAGGGCAAGUGGGAGGUGGAAGUAGCCAACAACUGCAUCCAUAGAUAACUUUGCAGUAUCAGUACGAACACUGUUCCGCUGUCUUCCUUUUAUACAAACGAGUUAUUGGCUUCAGAAAGUUUUAACUCCACCUUCCACCAAAAAACAGUUCCAUGUCAGCGAAAGAAAAAUGAUGCUGUAAACCAUGUGAAGUAUCUACCUCAUAAAGUUGCUAACGUAGUAUUUUAACCAGUACAUAUAGAUUGUUUUAAUGAACUUAAAAAGUGCCUAAAGCUACAAGAGCCCCUGGCGAGUUCUGUGUAUUCACCUAAGUAUUUGUUCCUAAGCAAUCUCCCUUGCUGUACCAGCAGCAAGACUGGUAACUGUUCUAAGGCAGCUGUUUGAAGUGGCCUGCAAGCCAGACUUCAAUCUGGCUGACAUCUUUCAUAUCUCAUCUAGCAUUUGUGUGGGAGAGAGAGGAGGGAGAAAGAAAAAGGUGGGGCAAUAAGCAGGGCAGAAUAGUACUUGACAGCUCCACCAUUUCUAUGCAGGGAGAGGAAACUUUUGCCUCUGUUUUACAUAAAAGACAGUUGUUAACAUGAGUGCAUUGUAUAACAGCUUCCCAGCAUUAACCACUACAAUGAUGUUGGAAUGUUGGUCUUUUGAUUCAACAUAGCAAGGUCAAAAUGAAAAAGGUAAUUAAUUAGAACUGAAGAUGCAGCUCACAUAGUACUGAAAUAAUUGUCUAUUUGUGCAAGCACAACAACCAUAUCUUCAAUUUAGGUCAGGCCAUCAAGAGGAGGAAAAGGACUGAAGACUGAAGAUGAGAUGCUCUACUUCACACAGUUGCCCUCUGGAAGGACUUGCAAAGGCAGUCACUUAAAUUAAGUACAGGUCAUCAGACAAGAUAUCUAAUCUAUUCCUAAGACAGGCAGCUCUAGCAGUCCAAAUCCCCAUGGCCUUUGCAGCGACAUGAUGAACUACUUCCUCAUGUACCUCUGUCAAUUCACGUUAGGUUGCAGUUUUUUUAAAGCGAUAUUUUAUGUACAUCAUGACCCUAUUGCUCAAAGCAAGGAAAGUGCUUUGGUUUAUUUAUGACCUACUAACCUUAAAUAAAAAAAAAAAAAAACACAUCCAAUCUGAAUGUUCACAUAAGCCUGCAGAUCUGAAAUAAAAUUUAAAAUAAAGCUGGCAUUUGUAACAGCUAGCUAAGCCCAAUAAGAGAUUUUUAAAAAAUGAAAACCAGAUGAAAGAAGAUGAAAGCAUAUUUAUCCUGCAUAACCUGCACACAUCAGGAAUCAGGGCUGGAACCCAGAAAUACCUUUUUUACUUAGAAGUUUCAGCCCAUUUCACAGGCUAGAUGACCAAGGAAAUACUGAGGUUUUCCAUGAUAGGGGGUGGGGAGGCAUUAAUAACAACCUGUGAAUGUAAUUCCUUCGAAGAUGUAAUCCACCCAGCCACAAGCUCUACACAGCUCCUCUCCUUCCCUGCACCCCAUCCCAAUUGCCAGAUAUCAGCCAGGCAAGUCCCCAUACUGAAAUAUGAAGUGACAGAUGGAAGCAGGGAAUAAGGGCAUAGGAAUGAGUACUGAAAGAAAUUGAGAACAGAAAACAAGCUUAUAAUAGGGCAGAUCUUAAACAUGAGCAACCCUAAACCAUAAAGUUAUUCAUUUGGCUAGAACAAAGUUGAACAGAUGCACAUAAGACUGAGUUGGAGAGCCUUAUUCUCUCAUCACACAUGCCAGUGUACAGAGGUCUUCUCCUGACAUCCAUGGAAUUAUACCUUAGAAAUUUCAGUAUAAAUAAAUGGAGAAAUAAAAAUAAUCACAGCUAAAAUAUUGGCAGCAAAUAUCCUGUGCUGCUGUAUUGGGAAAGAAAGGUGAGCUGCCACAUUUCAUUAAAAUGUAUUUGAUUUAGGUAUAUUCAUAAUCAAAGUGGCCUUCAUAAACAAAACACAUCUAAUCCACCAUAAUAGUUGAUUCUGUUUUGGUCUAGUUCUCCAGUAGGCUAUAUUAAUGACCUUUUCUUUUAGUUUAGUAUUAGAUGGAAAAUACUGUUGAGUCAAAUAAUGCAAUAAAUACCUCUACAUGCAGAGCAACUCAUUGAAAGAAACAGUUAGGACCAAGUCCUUGUCAUAGUGUUUGUUUACAAAAUAGGCUGAGGCAGCACACUGAUCAACUCCAGUCCUUAAGUGUGGGUUCCCCUAACACAAGUACAGGCAAAACCCCAAACAUUUAUACAGCCUUAUAAACAACAACAGAUGGAAGAGAGAGAGAGUAGAGGGCAUCUUUAUCCAAAGGAUAAGGUAAACAGACAAACUGCAACUCAUGUAAGUCAAUGAAUCAGUCACAUAAUUUCAGCACACUUAAGAGUGGACCUAGCAGAAAAGAAUUCUGACAAGCGGAGCUUCAAGAACACCUGCAUAAGAACUCUGCUCACAAAUGAAAAUAAGAAAGAAGUCUGGGAAACUGCCAGCUCCUUGCAGAAAGACUGAAACAUGAUCGGCAGAGAAGGGUGUUGGUGUCGACAUUUGAGGAUGCAGUCAAGUCAAUGGAGUUCUGUUGUAGUGGUUGCUUCAGUGAACAUUCAACGCUGUCGGCCUUAACACCGAAGAUAGCAACCUAACCAUCAUAUGAUGUUUCUCCCUCACCCUGCCAAGCUUUACAAAAAGGUCACAAUCAACAUUCAUUGCUGUCGGUGGGUUUAACUAUGUGGACAAGCUCACUGAACAAUGAAUGCAACUGUGGCCCCACAAUGUACAGCUGCUGUUGAGAGGAGCAGCAGCUCUGAAGGCAAUAGUGAGAAGCAAACACUCAUAAGCUACAGUUUUCUGGUCAGAAAAAUAGUUGGGGGUAUCCACUUUUUGCUUGCUUGGUUUUGAGUGUGUUUAACUUAGCUGACUAGAAAAAAAAAACCCGCUGCCUUUUUCUGGAGUAUCGUCCUCACAGGGUUCAGUACCAUUGAAAAUGUGAAAAUUCUUAUUUAGUAUGUAUGCAGAAAAAAUAACAGGACACGAAGCUCUGUAUAUCCAUUUCUAAGGAUUCUGACACAAGAGGAAAAAAUAUUUCAUUGCCAUUUAACUAGGAAUUGUUGAGGAGUUCAAAAGUUUAUUCUAUACUUGUAAUGACAAAUACAACUGGGAACAAAUGGGAUUUAAGAGUUAUGGAUAAAAAUGUUACAUCAAAAAAUAUUAAUUAAUUUUACAAUAAACUGAUUUUAAGAACACAAAUACUAUUGCAUUUGCUAUUUUUAGGGAUCUGAAAGAUGACAAAGAAAUGUUCAUCCAGAAAUAAUAAUGGAAAAGCAGUUAAAUUUUAAAGUUACUGUAAACUGAGUACCUAUGUCACACUCUGAGUUUUGCAGUAAGAAAAUAAAGUGUAAAUAAGCUCACAA